RNAcentral lists this ribosomal RNA (649 nucleotides) under uncultured fungus. RNAcentral describes it as "eukaryotic LSU rRNA". It matches the Rfam family "Eukaryotic large subunit ribosomal RNA", at positions 23 to 641 of the family's 3401-position model. The record is from RNAcentral. Lineage: Eukaryota; Fungi.
ACCCGCUGAACUUAAGCAUAUCAAUAAGCGGAGGAAAAGAAACCAACAGGGAUUGCCUCAGUAACGGCGAGUGAAGCGGCAAGAGCUCAAAUUUAAAAGCCGACGUAGCUUUAAGAGACGUCCGCAUUGUAAUUUGAAGAGGCAUUCUCGGGUCGGGGCUCAGGCCUAAGUUCCUUGGAAGAGGGCGUCGUGGAGGGUGAGAACCCCGUUCGCGGCCUGCUGUCGACCUUUCCCCGAUCCACACGAGGUGCCAUCGAAGAGUCGAGUUGUUUGGGAAUGCAGCUCAAGCGGGUGGUAAAUUCCAUCUAAAGCUAAAUAUUGACGGGAGACCGAUAGCGAACAAGUAGAGUGAUCGAAAGAUGAAAAGCACUUUGGAAAGAGAGUUAAACAGCACGUGAAAUUGUUGAAAGGGAAGCGCUUGAGACCAGUCACGGACCGAGGCGAUCAGUGGGACGUCCCUCUCGGGGGAGGAACCGCGCACUCGCUUUUCGGGUUUUCCGGGUCAACAUCGGUUGGGACGGUGUCAGAAAGGUCGCGGGAACGUGGCUCCCUUCACGGGGAGUGUUAUAGCCCGUGGCGUCAAAGUCGCCAGUUUCGACCGAGGACCGCGCUCGUCUUUUUCGAGCAAGGAUGUUGACGUAAUGGUCCC